AAUCAACGGCUCCCAUACGAUCACUGAAGUUAAGCAACAUCGAGACUGCUCAGUACCGAGAUGGGUGACCGCUUGAGAAUACCAGAUGCUGUCA
This is a non-coding RNA of Acanthosepion pharaonis, 94 nucleotides long. The record is from the annotation of a GenBank genome assembly. NCBI's taxonomy places the organism in Eukaryota, Metazoa, Mollusca, Cephalopoda, Sepiida, Sepiidae.